GGGGUUGUGGCUCAGUGGUAGAGUACUUGCCUACCAUGUGUGAGGUACUGGGUUCAAUUCUCAGCACCA
This 69-nucleotide transfer RNA is filed under the name Ictidomys tridecemlineatus (thirteen-lined ground squirrel). RNAcentral's name for it is "Spermophilus tridecemlineatus (thirteen-lined ground squirrel) tRNA". It matches the Rfam family "tRNA". From Rfam's summary of the family: Transfer RNA (tRNA) molecules are approximately 80 nucleotides in length. The record is from Rfam by way of RNAcentral. Lineage: Eukaryota; Metazoa; Chordata; Mammalia; Rodentia; Sciuridae.